ACACUUCCACCGUACCAAAGACCUCAUUAACACUUAGGUUUUUGUUUUUCCCCCUACUUGUGUUGUUGGUUUCUCUUACCUUUUUUUGUCUUCAUUUUGCCAUGGCUAAGUUCUUUGCUGCUUUCAUCUUGGCUCUCAUUGCCAUUUCAAUGCUCCAAACUAUGGUCAUGGCUGCUAAUGGGCAAGGAGGCCAUCUCUAUGACAACAAGAGCCAAUAUGGACCUGGGAGUGUCAAGAGUUAUCGUAAGUAAAAGUUACUACCUAUUAUUACUAUGCAUUUUCUUCUAGUUUUUCUCUUCUAAUUUUUUAUAAUUUUCUACAAUGUUGAACACCAAAAUUGUGGCAAAACACCACAAGAACUAAGAAGGAACGGAUUUUUUUUCUGAAAUAAAUAAAAAAAUAUUAUUUCUAAAAACAAAUUAUUUCAACUUUACAUACAAGGAAUAU
Non-coding RNA from Arachis ipaensis, 447 nucleotides. Lineage: Eukaryota; Viridiplantae; Streptophyta; Magnoliopsida; Fabales; Fabaceae. The record is from RefSeq and is a predicted model, not a curated record.